GAAAUGCGAUAAGUAGUGUGAAUUGCAGAAUUUAGCGAAUCAUCGAAUCUUUGAACGCACAUUGCGCCCCUUGGUAUUCCAUGGGACAUGCCUGUUCGAGCGUCAUUUCAACCCUCAAGCACUGCUUGGUGUUGGGUGUUUGUCCCGCCUACGCGCGUGGACUCGCCUCAAAGUCAUUGGCAGCUGUUCCCCUUCGGCUCGUAAGCGCAGCACAGUCGGCGCCCGGAGCUCUGGUGGGAUGGCGUCCAGCAAGCUAUAUUUUCAGGCUUGACCUCGGAUCAGGUAGGGAUACCCGCUGAACUUAAGC
This 307-nucleotide unclassified non-coding RNA is filed under the name plant metagenome. RNAcentral's name for it is "partial contains 5.8S ribosomal RNA, internal transcribed spacer 2, and large subunit ribosomal RNA". The stretch from base 1 to 105 matches the Rfam family "5.8S ribosomal RNA", at positions 50 to 154 of the family's 154-position model. The record is from RNAcentral.